Molecule: ribosomal RNA, 253 nt
Filed under: uncultured bacterium
Lineage: Bacteria
Description: partial 16S ribosomal RNA
Rfam family: Bacterial small subunit ribosomal RNA
Source: RNAcentral
UACGUAGGGGGCGAGCGUUGUCCGGAGUUACUGGGCGUAAAGCGUGCGCAGGCGGUGCUGUAAGACCGAUGUGAAAUCCCCGGGCUUAACCUGGGAACUGCAUUGGUGACUGCAGCGCUGGAGUAUGGCAGAGGGGGGUGGAAUUCCACGUGUAGCAGUGAAAUGCGUAGAGAUGUGGAGGAACACCGAUGGCGAAGGCAGCCCCCUGGGCCAAUACUGACGCUCAUGCACGAAAGCGUGGGGAGCAAACAGG